This 1160-nucleotide unclassified non-coding RNA is filed under the name Hevea brasiliensis (rubber tree). Lineage: Eukaryota; Viridiplantae; Streptophyta; Magnoliopsida; Malpighiales; Euphorbiaceae. The record is from RNAcentral.
GGGAAUGUUUCCAGCUUGGGGAAGACUAUUUCCCUCAUUGUUAAUAAACGGCCUUAUAAAUCGAAUAAACAGUUACUAGAUGAACAACAUUAUUCUUGUGCUGGUUGCUACAAAAAUUUUGACGACGGGAAGACUCGAAUACAGGAACUUGCACAGACUAUGGGGUGGGGAAAACCUCGUUUCUGUGAAUAUAGUGGUCAGCUGUACUGCUCGUCAUGCCAUACAAAUGAUACAGCUGUCUUGCCUGCAAGGAUUCUGCAUCUUUGGGACUUUAAUCAAUACCCAGUUUCUCAGAUGGCUAAAUCUUAUCUAGACUCUAUCUAUGACCAGCCAAUGCUUUGUGUCAGUGCAGUCAAUCCAUUUCUGUUCUCAAAGGUCCCAGCUCUGCAGCAUGUAACAAAUAUCAGAAAAAGGAUAGGAACUAUGCUUCCAUUUGUUCGCUGCUCCUUCCAAAGAUCCAUCUACAGGGGAGUUGGAUCUAGAAGAUAUCUUCUUGAAAGCAAUGACUUCUUUUCUCUUAGGGAUCUCAUAGAUCUAUCCAAGGGAGUCUUUGCAGCUUUACCUGUUAUGGUCGAGACUAUAUCAAGAAAAAUUCUGGAGCAUAUAGCUGAGCAGUGCCUUAUAUGUUGUGAUGUGGGUAUACCCUGCAAUGCUCGGCAAGCCUGUGAUGACCCCUCUUCUCUCAUUUUCCCUUUCCAGGAAGAAGAAAUUGAAAGAUGCAAGUCUUGUCAAUCAGUUUUUCACAAACAUUGCUUUAGGAGGACAUCAAGUUGCCCUUGCGGUACUCAAUUUAAACCAGAGCUAGAGGGAAAUACAAGUAGGGGCAACCAUGAGAGCAGUAUGGGGAAUCUCUCCUUGGCCUUGUCAGGAAAGAAGGCAGACCUCAGUAAAGGGCUUUUUUCUAGAGUAUUCUCGAAGGUAAGAUCACUGAAAUCUAGCGAGGGUGGAGAACAGCAGCCUGAAGAUAAGAGUACUGCUAUUGUAAUGGGCUUAUUGCCUCUGACCAACCUCUGAAUACCUGUACAUAUAUUCAUCCUUGUAUCUUGCGUUGCAAGAAAAUCAUGUGAAUUGAAGCUUGUGCUUUAGCUAAGACCUGUAAGAAUUGCAUAUUCUUUCUCUUUUUGUGUCGCUCCAUCUUAUUUGGUCCUUUUAUAUUUUCC